UGGGCCUCUUUCAAUAUGAAGUCUUACAUGC
RNAcentral lists this non-coding RNA (31 nucleotides) under Rattus norvegicus (Norway rat). The record is from RNAcentral. Lineage: Eukaryota; Metazoa; Chordata; Mammalia; Rodentia; Muridae.